Molecule: ribosomal RNA, 500 nt
Filed under: uncultured bacterium
Lineage: Bacteria
Description: partial 16S ribosomal RNA
Rfam family: Bacterial small subunit ribosomal RNA
Source: RNAcentral
AUUGAACGCUGGCGGAAUGCUUUACACAUGCAAGUCGAACGGCAGCACGGGGGCAACCCUGGUGGCGAGUGGCGAACGGGUGAGUAAUACAUCGGAACGUGCCCAGUCGUGGGGGAUGACGUAGCGAAAGUUACGCUAAUACCGCAUACGAUCUACGGAUGAAAGCGGGGGACCGUAAGGCCUCGCGCGAUUGGAGCGGCCGAUGUCAGAUUAGGUAGUUGGUGAGGUAAAGGCACACCAAGCCGACGAUCUGGAGCUGGUCUGAGAGGACGACCAGCCACACUGGGACUGAGAGACGGCACAGACUCCUACGGGAGGCAGCAGUGGGGAAUUUUGGACAAUGGGCGCAAGCCUGAUCCAGCCAUUCCGCGUGCAGGACGAAGGCCUUCGGGUUGUAAACUGCUUUUGUACGGAACGAAAAGGCUCUGGUUAAUACCUGGGGCUCAUGACGGUACCGUAAGAAUAAGCACCGGCUAACUACGUGCCAGCCGCCGCCGUAA